UCGGAGCUGCUUGGAAAUAUCAACAGAGCGAAGGCUUAACUCUUUGCAGUGUGGUGCGGGACGGGCCCCGGACCUCUAUGCACUGUGUGGGCUGUGGGUUCCCCUGUGCCCAAGGAAGGGCUGGCAGCAGGGCAGGGCAGCUGGGCACGGCUUCACGAAUGGCAGUGCCCACUCCAUCAGAGAGAAGGGGAAUGUGGCCACAGAGCAACGGAGGUGCCGCUGUGCUUCGCUGUCUCUCAUCCGGCUCCUGCAGGAUAUUUCUCAGUGCAACCUGCAGAAGAGGACCUGUCUCCACAGCUGACUCAGCUGCUGAAUUCAUAGUCCAGAGAUGGUGUUCCCCUGCACUGGUCAUUAGGGGAGAGACAGCCUGUCUGCAUGUAUCCCUGACAACCUCAAGAAACAGAGAUUUGCAUCUGUGGGAAAAAGACUGAAAGGAGCUGAUGUUUCUGCAUGAUCCCCCGGGGGACUCAGAGGAUCAGUGUGUGACACAGUGCCUGUGCCAUGGGCAACACGAGUCCAGCAGGUCUGAGAGCCGCAGAGCAGCAGCCGUAGCAGUGAUAUCUCCCAGAUCCCAGCCUGGGCUGCGGUGGCAGGUGAGUCUGGGCUCUGCCUCCUGCCAUCUCACCUUUGUGCAGGGGAUCCAUUCUGCCUGGUGCACUGGACAGGAGAGCCAGCCAGCCGGCCAGCCCAGUGCCCAAGAAGCAGCCUGCAGCCUGCACCACCUGCACCCUGCCGUUUUGCUUGUGUAAUCCAGCUACUGUGGGUGUUGAUGUCACUUGGUGGUGGUGUCAGCAGCUCCUGAAUUCAGGAAGCCAGACUCACCACAGGGCUUAGAGUUGGAUGUAAUGCCAAGUAAAAGGGUCCUGUAGACAUUUUACAACUGUCCAUGUAGGUGAUUUUUUCCCAGAGCUGAUGCCCUGCCAUGUCUCUGCACAUCAUUCUCUCCAGGAGCAUGAGCAUGGUUUGUCUUUCACUUCUCUCUAAUGCCCUACAGCUCCAUGGGGAGACUGAGGGGGCAGGUCAUCCUGUUAACGGGUCCCAGUGAUGGAAACCCUGACCAAUGCAGCCAACUGAAGUUAGGGCAGAUCGGAACCUCCUCCUCUGCGACUGCCCCAGCAGAGUUCCAGCUGUGCUCCUAGACGUGACCUUAUGGAACCUGCAAACAAAUGACUGUCUACUGCACGCCUGAGAGUAACAGAAGGAGUUCUGCAGGUCUCAUAUGGCAAUAGAAUAUUCCUGUCCAUGAUCUGGGACAGACAGUUCUUUUCUGAGUGUGAGCUAGCAAAGCAGCAGUGUCUCUGUCACUGUGAAGCAGAGGUGGCCUCUGGGGAAUAACUCAGAAUGAUCCUAGCUUGGUCUUAGCUGAGGGCUUGGCCCAGAGCUUAGGAUUUUUUCAGAUGGGAGCUGUGAGCAUGGAUGGUCCCAGUCCCACGCAGCCCACUCCUUCCCUUCUGCCUGCCUUAAAUCGGCUGAUCUGCCAUUGCUAGUCAUUGUGGCUGGUCUUUCACCUCUCUGUGUCCUCAGAGAGUCCGAGGGCAAGAAUUCAGAGUGGAGAUGUCAUGAGCUCUUCCCAGUUCUGACAGCUUGAAUUCAAGCUGUGAACUAUUUAUCACAAUGCUACAAACAUCCAAGCAAGGUCUCUUAAUUUAUGAAGGUCCGGUAGAUGUUUUGCAAUUGACAACACGAACACAAAAAUACUUCUGCACUUUACUAACGCUACUAUGAAGCUGUCUGAUGUUUUCAUCAUAAUAUUUACUUCUUUGCAAAUGCUCUAAAUUCUCCAAUCCCAAUUCAAAACAGAAAGAUCAGAGAAUGAAAAUAGGGACAUGACAUAGCUGUUUAAAGAUUAUGUAAAAUGUUUUCCACUAGCGUAAAUAUUUGAUUGUAAAACUCUGCCUGUUGUGCUUUCAGAGCAGGGUGUGCAGUGAGUGCAGGGAGUGGUUCUGUCCCACAUCUCGGGGCCACGGUGGGACAGAGGUGGUGGGGAGCAAAAGGCCCAAAGCCCAGUUUGCCCAGGGAGUUGACCAGACAGGUGGCACUGGGACGGGAUCAUGCUGUUGUGAGCUGUGAACAUGCUGUCAGGUUGAGCAGUGCAUCGCUGGAGCUCAAGGUGCAGGGGGGUGCUUGGCGCAGCUGCCUCAAGCUCUGGAGGCUUGCUGGCUAGGUGGAAAUGGGGUGGGAGCAAAGCAAUGGCAAAGGCAAUGUCAGCUCUGGAGCUCCGAGCUGACUGCCUCUGCUGACCUCCAAGUGCUGAGUGGCUGCAGAGUGAUGCUGGGCAGCACAUGGGUGUCUGCAGGGGCUGCACAAGCCCUGUUAGCCCAUGGGAUAGGCUCUGUGGCCGGGUGUAGCAGAAACCAUCUGACUUUAGACCUAAGGAAAAGGUCCAGCAGAGUGGCCCAGUGCUGUUCCCUCUGCACUGGGACUCUGAGCAAGUCACAGUCUCUUUUUUGUUUCCUUAUCUCUAAACAGUGGAUAAUGAGGCUAACUCCUCCACAAAGCACUUGGAAAUCUCCCACCAGAAGGGUAAGAUAAAGGCUGUAUUGUUAUAAGUCCCGAAGCAGCUCUAAAUCUUGAGGUUUCACUACAAAGCAGCCUGCCCAGCCCUACCUCUGCUGCAGCGAUGCAGGGCAGUGACAGCGAAUUGAGCAUUUCCAUCUACAUCCCCUCCUCCUGCCCACCAAGCUCUGCGGUCCAGCCCUAAGUGAGAAGUGUGCUUUGAGGCAGGGACUGUGUCAGGCUCUGCCCAGCGGUGCAAAGCUGGGUCCGGGGUAGUAGUGAGCAGAGCUAAAGCCCCUGAUAUACAUCGGAUGGGUUGGGAGCAUUAUGUAUUUCUGGAAUGCCUUCUGGUCUUUAUUAAAAUGAAACCACAGCCAGCCCAAGAGAGCUCAUCGCCCAGGCACGGGGCCAAGUAUAAGUUACUUCUACAAAUAUUUAUUUAACCAUAUCAAUGACAAACUCUUUUGUAUAAAUGUUUUUAUUUAAUCAUAAUUUACCAAUUAUUUUAAAUCAAUUGUUUGCCUGGUUUCUAAACACUAAUCAAGAGGCUUGCAUUAGCAUUACUCAGGCGGAUUAGAUGCAUUAUUUCUCUGAAGCUUGUGCCAUUGCUUGCCUGCCUUGGCCAAGGAAGAGGGUGCAGAUGGAUCCCAAAUUUCACUUUGAUUGUCAGAUUCCUGGAGGACCCCAUUGGCAGCACUGCCAGCUGUCCCCACCCAGGUGACCUCUGGGCUCAGAGGCAUUUCUCAGCCACAGGGGCUCAUGGAUGUUGAUCCCACCUGAGCUGCUCAGGAUGAGAUUCCUUUGGCUUCCCCGGGGCCUUGCUCUCGCAGAGCUGCCAGCCCUGUCACAGAUGCCGCCAGCUCCUUGUUCUGCUGCUGCUCACCUCUCAUGCCUAAGCCUGGACCUGUCACACUGUAGAAGUUUCUCAGUGCCCCUUCAGCCCAGGGUCUCUGGCAAGAAUUUAUGAGCGUGCACGAGGCUGUUCAGGGCAGAACAGGAGCCCAUGGAUGCACGUGUUUGCCUGUGGUGUCCAGCCUCACUCCCAGCCCUCUGGGCUCCCUCACCAUCUAAAGAACAUCCCAGAAGGUCCUGUCUUCUUUUACCCCAGCUCUCUUACAUAAGUCCUGUCCACUCCUCUGUGCUCAGGUGAUGCCUACAAACAGAGAAUCUGUGACUUCUGCAGGGCCCUGCCUCCUCCAGAGCCCUUUGAGAUGUGGCGAGGCACAGUGUGAGCACAGCAGAGCCGCUGGGCACCAGGUGCUGCUGUGCUCCAUGCAGAGAACUGUGUCCCUUGCAGCGGCCAGACCGGCAUUGCUGAGCAGCCCGUGAUGAGAGCAGGGCGCUGCGAGCUGCUCCUCUUGUUUAUUUACAGGAUUUCAGGCUGCUACUGUCUUGCACCUUGGCUCGCCUGCUGCAAGCACAGGCUCUGCAGGGAGCUCUGUGCACAAGCAGGCGGCUGCUCAGUGUCUGCUGCUGGGACAGGGCUGGCCUCAGGGGAGUUUCCCACCUCCCCCCCAAAAAACUCCUCCCCAUUUGAUCCUCCACCUGGAAGACACCUCAGGGUCUCUUUGACAUGAGAUUUCAAAAAAAUUUCUUCCAAGAUAAUCAAACCCAAAUAAACACAAACUGGGGCAGGCUUGAGGUAAUCCUUAGAUUUACCGACUGCUUUAAAGAUUAUGAAAAUAGAAAGCAAUGCUAGGUAGACCCUUUGAAGACUUAAGUAUGGUGCUUUUUUUCUUCUGGGUGAUGAGGAAUAGAUCCACUGCUUGAUACACAGCAGCACAGCACUUCAGAACACUUAGCUGCAUGGCCUUGCAGCCAUAUCACUGCAGUAAGAAAGCACGAAAAUGAUGGUAACAGGGAGCUUCCUACUGUUGACACAUAAACAAAGGGAAAGUUAUUUGGACAGGGCUCUGAAAUACUGUGUAAACACAGACCUAAUGCAAUAACGCAGAUGCAGAGCGAACCCUUGGAAAGAAAAUAAUUACUUACAUGAUGCUAAAAAGCAUUUUCAUGCCUCUUUUGAGGGAAAAUGAACCAUGAGGAGGUCUGUGUCCUUGUUUUUAACAAUAUCCUAUUUUCUACAAAUCUGCUUUUAGAAAUGAAUGUUUUCACUUCUUCCUUGAAAGUUCUGUAGGCAGUUUUGGAGCUUCCCA
Meleagris gallopavo (turkey) is the source of this 4652-nucleotide long non-coding RNA. RefSeq lists it as uncharacterized. NCBI's taxonomy places the organism in Eukaryota, Metazoa, Chordata, Aves, Galliformes, Phasianidae. The record is from RefSeq and is a predicted model, not a curated record.